RNAcentral lists this unclassified non-coding RNA (1344 nucleotides) under Leishmania donovani. RNAcentral's name for it is "gene:LdHU3.09.0280(CDS-product:ATG8/AUT7/APG8/PAZ 2_putative)". The record is from RNAcentral. Lineage: Eukaryota; Euglenozoa; Kinetoplastea; Trypanosomatida; Trypanosomatidae.
CCCGCAUCUCCUGCAUUCAUCCCACCCACCACCACCCCCACACACACGCACUCCCACUCCCCCCUCCCCCAGGCCACCCCAAUCAUCACCAUGUCCGCCUACGUGUUGUCGACGCCGCUGGAGGCCCGCGUUGCGAAGUGCGCGAGCCUGCGCGCUGCGAACGCGGUGCCCGUUGUCGUGGAGGAGGCGCAGGCGCGCGGCGGCAAGGCACACUUCAGCGCGCUGGCGCGCGAGACGACGGUUGCGCAGCUUGUGGCCGCGGUGCGCGGCUUCCGCGGCGUGGACGCGAAGAAGCCGGUGGCGCUGACGGUUGCCGGCUGCAGCGUGUCGCCGUCGGCGACGCUCGGCGAGCUGCACGACGCGUGCAGGCGAGCGGACGACGGCAUGCUGUACGUCGCCUACACCGCGGAGCGCUGCAUGGGCGCUGCGGUGUGCACGCCGUGCGGCUCGUGCGCGUACAAUUGAUUUCUUUGUUGCCGCUUGAUAUUUUCUUGUGAGGUGCGUGAUGGGUCGGGUGUGGUGGGAGAUUGCUGCUAGCACUCGGAACUCUGGGUGCAGGCUCGCGCUUUCUGCUUCUCGGCUCUUAUGCUUGGCUCUGUUCUAGAUUGCGCUGUUGCUGGAAGAAUGCCGGUUGUGUGGUUGUAUGCCGCUCCUGCAUGCGCUGAACUGUGGUGGAAGAUAUCGAGCUUUCCAUGCCGACGUCUGUGGUCCCCUCGCGUAGAGUUGCCGUGGCGCUGGCGCUGCCCCGUACUGCGUGCUGGGGGCUGCCGGUCUGUCUUAAAUGGAUUGCCGACUCAAACAUACCUAUAUAUACAUAUAUAGGUGUGUUUGUUUCUCUAGGAGGCCAUGAACAGGGAAGCCCCCCUCCGCCUCAGCGGUCGAGUCCUGGUGUGCAUGGACGCGUCGAGUCCUUCAUUCGAUAAUCUGCUCCCCGGCCGUCGCGGUGAUUGUAUUUCUUGCUGCCCCCCUCCCCGGUGUGCCGUUGCCUUCUGUCCCUGUCCCUUUCCCCUUAACGAAGCGCACCGUUGCUUUCGUGCGCGUCUCGCGGCAUGUCGCACCCGUUGUCCUAUGGUCGUCUGCCUUUCAGCUUGGCCGGCGCCGCCGGCCGCCGUGCGGCGCGGUGCGCCCGCACUGCCGACGUUAACGCUUGCGGUUGUGCGUGUCAUUGUGCAGCACCUUGACGGUUGUCUGCUUAGGGGCUUUAUUCCUGCGCCUCUUCUCCCCUUGCAUGUGGUGGUCUACCCUUGUGGUCUGCUGAAGCUGUGUGUGUCUACUUCCCCCCCCUCCUCCUCUGUACGUUGCUCGUCCCGAAUGGGUGGGUCAUCGCCCCCCACCCCUUGGUAG